Molecule: ribosomal RNA, 276 nt
Filed under: uncultured prokaryote
Description: partial 16S ribosomal RNA
Rfam family: Bacterial small subunit ribosomal RNA
Source: RNAcentral
UACGUAGGGGGCUAGCGUUAUCCGGAAUUACUGGGCGUAAAGGGUGCGUAGGCGGUCUUUCAAGCCAGAAGUGAAAGGCUACGGCUCAACCGUAGUAAGCCUUUGAAACUGUGAAACUUGAGUGCAGGAGAGGAGAGUGGAAUUCCUAGUGUAGCGGUGAAAUGCGUAGAUAUUAGGAGGAACACCAGUGGCGAAGGCGAUUCUCUGGACUGUAACUGACGCUGAGGCUCGAAAGCGUGGGGAGCAAACAGGAUUAGAUACCCGCGUAGUCCCUGA